AGGUUGCAGGGUGUGGCUCAGGAAUUCUCCACAGACCUCUCUCUCUCUCGCUCGCUCGCGUUCUUUCACUCACUAUCUUUGUCUUUUAAAUAAGCGUCGGGUUUUUAACUCUGUGAUUAUACUACUCUGGGAAGCGUCGGGUUUUUAACUCUGUGACUAGACUACUCUGGGAAGCCGUCGGGUUUUUAACUCUGUGACUAGACUACUCUGGGAAGCGUCGGGGUUUUUAACUCUGUGACUAGACUACUCUGGGAAGCGUCAGGGUUUUUAACUCUGUGACUAGACUACUCUGGGAAGCGUCGGGUUUUUAACUCUGUGACUAGACUACUCUGGGAAGCGUCGGGGUUUUAACUCUGUGACUAGACUACUCUGGGAAGCGUCGGGUUUUUAACUCUGUGACUAGACUUCUCGGGGAUAUUUUCUCUCCACCACCAAACCUGUGUUGUAUUUUACCAUGGGAGUCGUAGGAGGAUUCAAAUGCAUCAAAUACCUGAUGUUCAUGUUCAACUUCCUCUUCUGGGUGAG
Molecule: long non-coding RNA, 525 nt
Filed under: Salmo salar (Atlantic salmon)
Lineage: Eukaryota; Metazoa; Chordata; Actinopteri; Salmoniformes; Salmonidae
Description: lncRNA (ENSSSAG00000114964.1)
Source: RNAcentral